This is a long non-coding RNA of Hibiscus syriacus, 554 nucleotides long. RefSeq lists it as uncharacterized. The record is from RefSeq and is a predicted model, not a curated record. NCBI's taxonomy places the organism in Eukaryota, Viridiplantae, Streptophyta, Magnoliopsida, Malvales, Malvaceae. The transcript is spliced from 3 exons.
AUUACUUACCCCAUUCCAAAACAUGCCCCUUACCGUCCCUCUAGUGCUUUUUGUUGUCCUCGUACUGGUUUUUGUUCUUUGUUGGUUUUAAAGAUGGAGAGAAAAAACCUAGGAAGACAGAGAUGAAAAAGAUGACAAAACGAAAGCAACCUUCAAGUCACCUUCUCAAAACGAAGGGCUGGUCUUUUCAAAAAGGCCAGUGAAAUCAGCACCCUUUGUGGUGUUGAGGUCGCGCUUGUUGUCUUCACGCAGGGCAAACAAGGCCUUCGCUUUUGGCGUCCCUAGCGUCGAUACUGUUAUGGAUCGUUAUCUCGGCCGCAACCCACCGAAAAGUUCGAUAACGCCGCAGAUCGUCGAGGCUCACCGGGAGUCUAACGUUCAUCAGCUCAACAUGGAGCUCACGCAGUUGAUGGAGCAAUUAGAAGCCAAAAAGAAGCUCGGUGAAUAGCUUCACCAAAGGGAGAAAGCUAACCAACGGUAGUACUGGUGCCAGUCACCGGUUGAGGAACUCGAUCUAUCUCAUCUGCAGCUACUCAAAUCCGCCAUGGACGGGU